UACGUAGGGGGCAAGCGUUGUCCGGAUUUAUUGGGCGUAAAGAGCGUGUAGGCGGCCAGGUAGGUCUGCUGUGAAAACUCGAGGCUUAACCUCGAGCUGUCGGCGGAAACCAUCUGGCUAGAGUCCGGAAGAGGAGAAUGGAAUUCCCGGUGUAGCGGCGAAAUGCGCAGAUAUCGGGAAGAACACCCGUGGCGAAGGCGGUUCUCUGGGACGGUAUUGACGCUGAGACGCGAAAGCGUGGGGAGCGAACAGG
This 253-nucleotide ribosomal RNA is filed under the name uncultured bacterium. Its description in RNAcentral is "partial 16S ribosomal RNA". It matches the Rfam family "Bacterial small subunit ribosomal RNA", at positions 524 to 776 of the family's 1533-position model. The record is from RNAcentral.